UACGUAGGGGGCAAGCGUUGUCCGGAAUCAUUGGGCGUAAAGGGUGCGUAGGUGGCGCGCUAAGUCAGGUGUGAAAUUUCGGAGCUUAACUCCGAAACUGCAUUUGAUACUGGCGUGCUUGAGGACUGGAGAGGAGACUGGAAUUCAUGGUGUAGCAGUGAAAUGCGUAGAGAUCAUGAGGAAGACCAGUGGCGAAGGCGGGUCUCUGGACAGUUCCUGACACUGAGGCACGAAGGCCGGGGGAGCAAACGGG
Molecule: ribosomal RNA, 253 nt
Filed under: uncultured bacterium
Lineage: Bacteria
Description: partial 16S ribosomal RNA
Rfam family: Bacterial small subunit ribosomal RNA
Source: RNAcentral